GAUGAACGCUAGCUACAGGCUUAACACAUGCAAGUCGAGGGGCAGCAUGAACAUAGCUUGCUAUGUUUGAUGGCGACCGGCGCACGGGUGCGUAACACGUAUCCAAUCUGCCCGUUACUCGGGGAUAGCCUUCUGAAAGGAAGAUUAAUACCCGAUGGCAUGUAUUUCCGGCAUCGGAGAUACAUUAAAGAUUUAUCGGUAACGGAUGAGGAUGCGUACGAUUAGCUUGUUGGCGGGGCAAACGGCCCACCAAGGCUACGAUCGUUAGGGGUUCUGAGAGGAAGGUCCCCCACACUGGUACUGAGACACGGACCAGACUCCUACGGGAGGCAGCAGUGAGGAAUAUUGGUCAAUGGGCGAGAGCCUGAACCAGCCAAGUCGCGUGAGGGACGACGGUCCUAUGGAUUGUAAAACCUCUUUUGUCGGGGAGCAACGAGACCACGCGUGGUCGAAGGGAGAGUACCCGAGAAAAAAGCAUCGGCUAACUCCGUGCCAGCAG
This 499-nucleotide ribosomal RNA is filed under the name uncultured bacterium. RNAcentral's name for it is "bacterial SSU rRNA". It matches the Rfam family "Bacterial small subunit ribosomal RNA", at positions 28 to 514 of the family's 1533-position model. The record is from RNAcentral.